This is a long non-coding RNA of Gossypium arboreum, 363 nucleotides long. RefSeq lists it as uncharacterized. Lineage: Eukaryota; Viridiplantae; Streptophyta; Magnoliopsida; Malvales; Malvaceae. The transcript is spliced from 2 exons. The record is from RefSeq and is a predicted model, not a curated record.
CUGCUAGAGCAUAUGCCAUCCGCGCACGAGAGGAGGCAUCCUCCCCUGACGUUAUCACUGGUUCCUUGGGCUCGUCUCCUUUUGGGUGUUCGUAACCGUCAACGAAGUCAUCACACCGGCGAGCAAUCUUUGGUAUUAUCUUCUUAGUCGACUUAGGAGAACAUUUGGCAUGUAUGAGCUAUUUUGUUUUGUUAAAUUUUGGGUUGUAAACUUUAAGCCAUGUGAAAAUGGCCUAUGUGGUCGUUUGAGUGGGAUGCUAGAAUCUAUAGCCACGAGUCUUAGAAACCUUAAUUUUGAUAAGGUGGCCAUAAUUUGUGUCACGUAUGAUGGAUGAGUAGUAAGACUAAGGAAGGAUUCAUGAAA